CAAUAGCGUAUAUUAAAGUUGUUGCGGUUAAAAGCUCGUAGUUGGAUUUCUGUCGAGGGCGAGCGGUCCACCCUAAGGGUGAGUAUCUGUCAGGCCUUGGCAUCCUCUUGGAGAACGUUGCUGUGAUUAAGUUCGUGGCACGGAAUUCAAGACUUUUACUUUGAGGAAAUUAGAGUGUUCACGGCAAGCAAUCGCUUUGAAUACAUUAGCAUGGAAUAAUAAUAUAGGACCUUGGUACUAUUUUGUUGGUUUCUAGAACUAAGGUAAUGGUUAAUAGGGACAGUUUGGGGGCAUUCGUAUUAACGCGUCAGAGGUGGAAUUCUUGGAUUGCGUUACGACGAACUACUGCGAAAGCAUUUGCCAAGGAUGUUUUCAUUGAUCAAGAACGAAAGUAUGGGGAUCGAAGAUGAUCAGAUACCAU
RNAcentral lists this ribosomal RNA (421 nucleotides) under uncultured eukaryote. Its description in RNAcentral is "SSU rRNA". It matches the Rfam family "Eukaryotic small subunit ribosomal RNA", at positions 592 to 1018 of the family's 1831-position model. The record is from RNAcentral.